RNAcentral lists this ribosomal RNA (495 nucleotides) under uncultured bacterium. RNAcentral's name for it is "partial 16S ribosomal RNA". It matches the Rfam family "Bacterial small subunit ribosomal RNA", at positions 30 to 507 of the family's 1533-position model. The record is from RNAcentral.
UGAACGCUGGCGGCGUGCCUAAUACAUGCAAGUCGAGCGAACGGACGAGAAGCUUGCUUCUCUGAUGUUAGCGGCGGACGGGUGAGUAACACGUGGAUAACCUACCUAUAAGACUGGGAUAACUUCGGGAAACCGGAGCUAAUACCGGAUAAUAUUUUGAACCGCAUGGUUCAAAAGUGAAAGACGGUCUUGCUGUCACUUAUAGAUGGAUCCGCGCUGCAUUAGCUAGUUGGUAAGGUAACGGCUUACCAAGGCAACGAUGCAUAGCCGACCUGAGAGGGUGAUCGGCCACACUGGAACUGAGACACGGUCCAGACUCCUACGGGAGGCAGCAGUAGGGAAUCUUCCGCAAUGGGCGAAAGCCUGACGGAGCAACGCCGCGUGAGUGAUGAAGGUCUUCGGAUCGUAAAACUCUGUUAUUAGGGAAGAACAUAUGUGUAAGUAACUGUGCACAUCUUGACAGUACCUAAUCAGAAAGCCACGGCUAACUACGUG